AGUGCAUGUGGUGGAUGCCUUGGCAGUCAGAGGCGAUGAAAGACGUGAUAGCCUGCGAAAAGCUCCGGGGAGGCGGCAAAUAUCCUUUGAUCCGGAGAUGUCUGAAUGGGGGAACCCACCUACUUUAAGGUAGGUAUUGCAACAUGAAUACAUAGUGUUGCAAGGCGAACGAGGGGAAGUGAAACAUCUCAGUACCCUUAGGAAAAGAAAUCAAUUGAGAUUCCCUCAGUAGCGGCGAGCGAACGGGGAUCAGCCCAUUAAGUUAUGUGUGUUUUAGUGGAACGCUCUGGGAAGUGCGAACGUAGAGGGUGAUAUUCCCGUACACGAAAGGGCACACAUAAUGAUGACGAGUAGGGCGAGGCACGUGAAACCUUGUCUGAAUAUGGGGGGACCAUCCUCCAAGGCUAAAUACUCCUGACUGACCGAUAGUGAACCAGUACCGUGAGGGAAAGGCGAAAAGAACCCCUGUGAGGGGAGUGAAAUAGAUCCUGAAACCGCAUGCAUACAAGCAGUGGGAGCACCUUCGUGGUGUGACUGCGUACCUUUUGUAUAAUGGGUCAGCGACUUAUAUUCAGUAGCAAGGUUAACCGUAUAGGGGAGCCGUAGAGAAAUCGAGUCUUAAUAGGGCGUUUAGUUGCUGGGUAUAGACCCGAAACCAGGCGAUCUAUCCAUGAGCAGGUUGAAGGUUGGGUAACACUAACUGGAGGACCGAACCCACUGUCGUUGAAAAGCCAGGGGAUGACUUGUGGAUAGGGGUGAAAGGCUAAUCAAGCCUGGUGAUAGCUGGUUCUCCCCGAAAGCUAUUUAGGUAGCGCCUCGGACGAAUACCAUAGGGGGUAGAGCACUGUUUCGGCUAGGGGGUCAUCCCGACUUACCAAACCGAUGCAAACUCCGAAUACCUAUGAGUACUAUCCGGGAGACAGACUGCGGGUGCUAACGUCCGUAGUCAAGAGGAAAACAAUCCAGACCGCCAGCUAAGGCCCCAAAAUCAUAGUUAAGUGGGAAACGAUGUGGGAAGGCAUAGACAGCUAGGAGGUUGGCUUAGAAGCAGCCACCCUUUAAAGAAAGCGUAAUAGCUCACUAGUCGAGUCGGCCUGCGCGGAAGAUGUAACGGGGCUAAAACUAUGUGCCGAAGCUGCGGAUUUGACAUUAGUCAAGUGGUAGGGGAGCGUUCUGUAAGCCGAUGAAGGUGUAUUGAGAAGUNGUCGGCCUGCGCGGAAGAUGUAACGGGGCUAAAACUAUGUGCCGAAGCUGCGGAUGUAUACUUUGUAUACGUGGUAGGGGAGCGUUCUGUAAGCCGAUGAAGGUGUGUUGAGAAGCAUGCUGGAGGUAUCAGAAGUGCGAAUGCUGACGUGAGUAACGACAAAACGGGUGAAAAACCCGUUCGCCGAAAGACCAAGGGUUCCAGUCCAACGUUAAUCGGGGCUGGGUGAGUCGACCCCUAAGGCGAGGCCGAAAGGCGUAGUCGAUGGGAAAAUGGUUAAUAUUCCAUUACUUCUGUGUAAUGCGAUGAGAGGACGGAGAAGGCUAAAUCAGCCUGGCGUUGGUUGUCCAGGUGAAAGGAUGUAGGCAUGUAUCUUAGGCAAAUCCGGGGUACUCUAUGCUGAGAUCUGAUAGCAAGCUGUACUUGUACAGCGAAGUGGUUGAUGCCAUGCUUCCAGGAAAAGUCUCUAAGCUUCAGUUACACAGGAAUCGUACCCGAAACCGACACAGGUGGUCAGGUCGAGUAGACCAAGGCGCUUGAGAGAACUCUGCUGAAGGAACUAGGCAAAAUGGUACCGUAACUUCGGGAGAAGGUACGCUGUUGUUGGUGAUGGAACUCGCUUCCUGAGCUGACGACAGCCGCAGAAACCAGGCCGCUGCAACUGUUUAUUAAAAACAUAGCACUCUGCAAACACGAAAGUGGACGUAUAGGGUGUGAUGCCUGCCCGGUGCUGGAAGGUUAAUUGAUGGGGUUAGCGUAAGCGAAGCUCUUGAUCGAAGCCCCAGUAAACGGCGGCCGUAACUAUAACGGUCCUAAGGUAGCGAAAUUCCUUGUCGGGUAAGUUCCGACCUGCACGAAUGGCAUAAUGAUGGCGGCGCUGUCUCCAGCAGAGGCUCAGUGAAAUCGAAAUCGCUGUGAAGAUGCAGUGUACCCGCGGCUAGACGGAAAGACCCCGUGAACCUUUACUGCAGCUUGACACUGAACUUUGACCUUACUUGUGUAGGAUAGGUGGGAGGCUUUGAAGCUGGAACGCUAGUUCCAGUGGAGCCGUCCUUGAAAUACCACCCUGGUAAUGUUGAGGUUCUAACUCUGUCCCGUGAUCCGGGACGAGGACCGUGUCUGGUGGGUAGUUUGACUGGGGCGGUCUCCUCCUAAAGAGUAACGGAGGAGUACGAAGGUGCGCUCAGCGUGGUCGGAAAUCACGCGUAGAGUAUAAAGGCAAAAGCGCGCUUAACUGCGAGACCCACAAGUCGAGCAGGUACGAAAGUAGGUCUUAGUGAUCCGGUGGUUCUGUAUGGAAGGGCCAUCGCUCAACGGAUAAAAGGUACUCUGGGGAUAACAGGCUGAUACCGCCCAAGAGUUCAUAUCGACGGCGGUGUUUGGCACCUCGAUGUCGGCUCAUCUCAUCCUGGGGCUGAAGCAGGUCCCAAGGGUAUGGCUG
RNAcentral lists this ribosomal RNA (2645 nucleotides) under Acinetobacter baumannii 48055. RNAcentral describes it as "bacterial LSU rRNA". It matches the Rfam family "Bacterial large subunit ribosomal RNA", at positions 14 to 2579 of the family's 2925-position model. The record is from RNAcentral. Lineage: Bacteria; Pseudomonadati; Pseudomonadota; Gammaproteobacteria; Moraxellales; Moraxellaceae.